UUAAACCUUUAUAAAUUGGCGGCAUUUCAUCUUAUUAGAGGAACCUGUUUUUUAAUCGAUAACCCACGUUAUAUUUUACUUUAAUUAUAAAAAUUUAUAUAUCGCCAUUACAAGAAUUAAUUUUAAAAAUAUUACUCUAAAUAUUACUUUAAAAAAUAGGUCAAGGUGUAAUUUAUAUUAAAGAUAAAAUGGGUUACUUUAAAAAUAUUUAAGAAUUAUUUAUUUCAAAUUAAAUAUAAAAAAGGAUUUAAAAGUAAUAUAUAAUUUACUAUAAAUUAAA
RNAcentral lists this ribosomal RNA (280 nucleotides) under Piratula hygrophila. Its description in RNAcentral is "partial 12S ribosomal RNA". Lineage: Eukaryota; Metazoa; Arthropoda; Arachnida; Araneae; Lycosidae. The record is from RNAcentral.